RNAcentral lists this small RNA (154 nucleotides) under Dickeya dadantii 3937. The stretch from base 52 to 153 matches the Rfam family "t44 RNA". From Rfam's summary of the family: This family consists of a number of bacterial RNA genes of between 135 and 170 bases in length. The t44 gene is found between the map and rpsB genes in all species in the full alignment apart from Shigella flexneri. Lineage: Bacteria; Pseudomonadati; Pseudomonadota; Gammaproteobacteria; Enterobacterales; Pectobacteriaceae. The record is from RNAcentral.
CGGUGUUCCGGCUGGAAUUUUCAGAUGACUGAGUCCUGCCGGUUCAAACUGAACUCACUAUGUGUAUAACACACACGUGUCGGCACAUUCGCCGGGGUGCCUGAGUGGUUUGCUCCAUUCGGGUCGGCGCAAUGGGACACGUGGAGGCAUAACC